Molecule: ribosomal RNA, 487 nt
Filed under: uncultured soil bacterium
Lineage: Bacteria
Description: bacterial SSU rRNA
Rfam family: Bacterial small subunit ribosomal RNA
Source: RNAcentral
AGCGGCAGACGGGUGAGUAAUGCUUGGGCGAUCUGCCCUCGAGAGGGAGACAACCUGCCGAAAGGCGGGCUAAUACCCCAUAAGACCACGGCAUCCAAAGCUCCGCUUGAGGAGGAGCCCGAGUCCUAUCAGGUAGUUGGUGAGGUAACGGCCCACCAAGCCUUUGACGGGUAGCCGGCCUGAAAGGGUGAUCGGCCACACUGGCACUGAGACACGGGCCAGACUCCUACGGGAGGCAGCAGUGGGGAAUUUUGGACAAUGGGGGCAACCCUGAUCCAGCGACGCCGCGUGAAGGAUGAAGGUCUUCGGAUUGUAAACUUCUUUUGGAAGGGACGAUUGACGGUACUCUCUGAAUAAGCCACGGCUAACUACGUGCCAGCAGCCGCGGUAAUACGUAGGUGGCAAGCGUUACUCGGAAUCACUAGGCGUAAAGCGCAGGUAGGCGGUUGGGGAAGUCUCUUGUGAAAGCUCCCGGCUCAACUGGGAG